Mesocricetus auratus (golden hamster) is the source of this 892-nucleotide long non-coding RNA. RefSeq lists it as uncharacterized. Lineage: Eukaryota; Metazoa; Chordata; Mammalia; Rodentia; Cricetidae. The record is from RefSeq and is a predicted model, not a curated record. The transcript has 4 exons.
UCUCUCCCGAUGCUCCUGUCCCCGGAGGCUGGUCUCCCCUCUCCCCUUUUUAUGAUCCUUUUCCCUCGAUAAAAACCCCUCCACUUGAACUCUGUUCCAUGGCAUCUGCGUUUUCUCUCAAGCCACCCCCCCCCCCCUUGUAAAUUACAACAACCUCAGACUAGGGGCUCCUGGCUAAUGGACACUUAACAGCUAACUAAGGCUGCCUAAUACCCCUUCUCUGACUGCAGGUACCAUGGCCAUGGCUGACAAGCACAUGGCUCAACUUUUCCCUAAGCCUGGAGGUGGAGGACCAUCUAGUGUCUGACUGAAGGGAGUGCAGCCUGAAGAGAGGUGGUGAGGCAGGGACUUGCUGAGACCAGUGGGCUUGCACAGGAUCAAUCUCGGCGUUGUCCCCAGAGAUGAGACGCUGAAGCUCAGGGGUAGAGAACAUUCGGAUCCACUCAGGCUUAAUAAUGGAACGGAAGCCACUAAUGAGAGCAGCUGUCUGGUUUUUGAUUUGCGUGUGCAUUCGAAAAUGUGCCAUCAGAUGGAUGUAACUAAUUCUGUUAACAAGAAAGAGAAAUAAUGGAACCAAUAGUCCAGGGCCGGCUGCCGCCAGAUGGGGUCAGAAACCUCCAUUUGUACAGCCAGUCCUCAGCAGGGAUGUCCAUACUGAGGCUCACAGCUUGCCACAAACUAGAACAGGAAGACUGGGCGGAUGCAGAGUCAAGUCCCGUGACACAGGCUCUGUGGGAGCUGGCUGAGCCUGGCAGAAGGUGUGUGGCUGUUGCACCCUUCCCCCAUGGGGGUCGGCUGACCAGCUUGUGACUAGGAGCUUCUAGCAAAAUACCUCUGGUCCCCUCCUUCCAGUUAAGCCUGAAUGCAAGUUCCUGUUUUCUGUCCAUCCUUA